ACGCUGGCGGCAGGCCUAACACAUGCAAGUCGAGCGGUAGAGAGAAGCUUGCUUCUCUUGAGAGCGGCGGACGGGUGAGUAAUGCCUAGGAAUCUGCCUGGUAGUGGGGGAUAACGUCCGGAAACGGACGCUAAUACCGCAUACGUCCUACGGGAGAAAGCAGGGGACCUUCGGGCCUUGCGCUAUCAGAUGAGCCUAGGUCGGAUUAGCUAGUUGGUGGGGUAAUGGCUCACCAAGGCGACGAUCCGUAACUGGUCUGAGAGGAUGAUCAGUCACACUGGAACUGAGACACGGUCCAGACUCCUACGGGAGGCAGCAGUGGGGAAUAUUGGACAAUGGGCGAAAGCCUGAUCCAGCCAUGCCGCGUGUGUGAAGAAGGUCUUCGGAUUGUAAAGCACUUUAAGUUGGGAGGAAGGGCAGUAAAUUAAUACUUUGCUGUUUUGACGUUACCGACAGAAUAAGCACCGGCUAACUCUGUGCCAGCAGCCGCGGUAAUACAGAGGGUGCAAGCGUUAAUCGGAAUUACUGGGCGUAAAGCGCGCGUAGGUGGUUCGUUAAGUUGGAUGUGAAAUCCCCGGGCUCAACCUGGGAACUGCAUUCAAAACUGACGAGCUAGAGUAUGGUAGAGGGUGGUGGAAUUUCCUGUGUAGCGGUGAAAUGCGUAGAUAUAGGAAGGAACACCAGUGGCGAAGGCGACCACCUGGACUGAUACUGACACUGAGGUGCGAAAGCGUGGGGAGCAAAC
RNAcentral lists this ribosomal RNA (745 nucleotides) under uncultured bacterium. RNAcentral's name for it is "bacterial SSU rRNA". It matches the Rfam family "Bacterial small subunit ribosomal RNA", at positions 33 to 773 of the family's 1533-position model. The record is from RNAcentral.